AUGGUUUAGUGAGGCCUUCUGACUGGCGCCGAUACUCUGGCAACAGAGCGCCGGAUGCCGGGAAGUUGGUCAAACUUGAUCAUUUAGAGGAAGUAAAAGUCGUAACAAGGUUUCCGUAGGUGAACCUGCGGAAGGAUCAUUACCGAUACGAAUCCAAACAUGGUUAUCAUUAACCUGUGUGAACUGUACACAACAUUUAGGGGUCGGCGAUCGUGCCGUUAAAUGGUCGUGCGUUCGUUAAUUCGGCGUCCGGCCAGCCCCGUCUUUUUGACGCACUUUAAUGUACCAGUCUGAAACGUUGCCUGUGCUUGCGCAGGUGGGAAAAAUGAAAGAGAGAGACAACUUUUAACGGUGGAUCUCUUGGCUCACGUAUCGAUGAAGAACGCAGCCAGCUGCGAUAAGUAGUGUGAAUUGCAGAAUUCAGUGAAUCAUUGAAUCUUUGAACGCAAAUGGCGCUCUUGGGUUCUCCCAGGAGCAUGUCUGUCUGAGUGUCGGAUAUUAUCUGACGCACUUGAGUGUGCGGAAUUGAGGCGUCACGGCGUAAGUUCUCGCCGUGUCCCUUGAAGGAAAGCGUGCUAGACUCGCAUCGUGCGGUUAACGCCUGCACUUCAUGCGAAGGCUAAAAAUAUUUUGUCCUUCGUCUGGGCGCAGGUCCGCCAUCGCUUGUCUCGCCGAAAAAGGUGAAACGUUCUUAUCUUGACCUCAGAUCAGGCAAGGCUACCCGCUGAAUUUAAGCAUAUUAAUAAGCGGAGGAAAAGAAACUAACAAGGAUUCCCCCAGUAACGGCGAGUGAAGCGGGAAUAGCUCAAAUUUGAAAUCUCCGACGCUUGCGUCGGCGAAUUGUAGUUGCGAGAAGCACUUUCUCGGCGGAUCGGGCGUGCCUAAGUUGCUUGGAACAGUACGUCGCAGAGGGUGACAACCCCGUCUGUGGCACGGCCGGCCGCUCACGA
RNAcentral lists this unclassified non-coding RNA (950 nucleotides) under Cladopsammia sp. RA-2014. Its description in RNAcentral is "sequence contains ITS1, 5.8S rRNA gene and ITS2". The stretch from base 698 to 950 matches the Rfam family "Eukaryotic large subunit ribosomal RNA", at positions 1 to 249 of the family's 3401-position model. The record is from RNAcentral. Lineage: Eukaryota; Metazoa; Cnidaria; Anthozoa; Scleractinia; Dendrophylliidae.